This 1097-nucleotide ribosomal RNA is filed under the name Aspergillus terreus. Its description in RNAcentral is "eukaryotic LSU rRNA". It matches the Rfam family "Eukaryotic large subunit ribosomal RNA", at positions 1 to 1113 of the family's 3401-position model. Lineage: Eukaryota; Fungi; Ascomycota; Eurotiomycetes; Eurotiales; Aspergillaceae. The record is from RNAcentral.
UUGACCUCGGAUCAGGUAGGGAUACCCGCUGAACUUAAGCAUAUCAAUAAGCGGAGGAAAAGAAACCAACCGGGAUUGCCUCAGUAACGGCGAGUGAAGCGGCAAGAGCUCAAAUUUGAAAGCUGGCUCCUUCGGGGUCCGCAUUGUAAUUUGCAGAGGAUGCUUCGGGUGCAGCCCCCGUCUAAGUGCCCUGGAACGGGCCGUCAUAGAGGGUGAGAAUCCCGUAUGGGGCGGGGUGUCUGCGUCCGUGUGAAGCUCCUUCGACGAGUCGAGUUGUUUGGGAAUGCAGCUCUAAAUGGGUGGUAAAUUUCAUCUAAAGCUAAAUACUGGCCGGAGACCGAUAGCGCACAAGUAGAGUGAUCGAAAGAUGAAAAGCACUUUGAAAAGAGAGUUAAACAGCACGUGAAAUUGUUGAAAGGGAAGCGCUUGCAACCAGACUCGCUCGCGGGGUUCAGCCGGGCUUCGGCCCGGUGUACUUCCCCGCGGGCGGGCCAGCGUCGGUUUGGGCGGCCGGUCAAAGGCCUCCGGAAUGUAGCGCCCUUCGGGGCGCCUUAUAGCCGGGGGUGCAAUGCGGCCAGCCUGGACCGAGGAACGCGCUUCGGCACGGACGCUGGCAUAAUGGUUGUAAACGACCCGUCUUGAAACACGGACCAAGGAGUCUAACAUCUACGCGAGUGUUCGGGUGUCAAACCCGUACGCGCAGUGAAAGCGAACGGAGGUGGGAGCCCCCUCGCGGGGCGCACCAUCGACCGAUCCUGAUGUCUUCGGAUGGAUUUGAGUACGAGCGUAGCUGUGGGGACCCGAAAGAUGGUGAACUAUGCCUGAAUAGGGCGAAGCCAGAGGAAACUCUGGUGGAGGCUCGCAGCGGUUCUGACGUGCAAAUCGAUCGUCAAAUUUGGGUAUAGGGGCGAAAGACUAAUCGAACCAUCUGGUAGCUGGUUCCUGCCGAAGUUUCCCUCAGGAUAGCAGUAACGCGGAUCAGUUUUAUGAGGUAAAGCGAAUGAUUAGAGGCAUUGGGGUUGAAACAACCUUAACCUAUUCUCAAACUUUAAAUAUGUAAGAAGCGCUUGUUGCUUAGUUGAACGUGCGCAUUAGAA